ACCUGGUUGAUCCUGCCAGUAGUCAUACACUUGUCUUAAAGAUUAAGCCAUGCAUGUCUAGAGAGAUUUGAUUGUCUAACCAUUAGACUGCAGACCGCUCAUUAUAACAGCUAUGGUACAAUGGAUAUUACCUUAUAGGCUGGAUACCUGCUACAAAUUCUAGAGCUAAUACAUGUCAUAAAUAAUAUAUCUUUAAGAUAUAUUUGGCUUUUAUUUUUUUUCAAAUCAAAGUGCUUCUACACUAUGGGUGAUUCAUAAUAAUUCUUGGAGAUCGCUUUAUAAGUGACAAUUCAUUCAAGUUUCUGACCUAUCACUUAGUCAGUAGUGUAUUGGACUAUUGAGGCAUUGACGGGUAACAGAGAAUUAGGGUUCUGUUCCGGAGAGGGACCCUGAGAAACAGCUACUACAUCUAAGGAAGGCAGCAGGCGCGUAAAUUACCCAAUUCUGAUUAAGAGAGGUAGUGACAAGAAAUCACAAUAUUUUGCCCUAGGGUUAAAUAAUUGUAUUGAGAACAGAGUAGAUAUAUUAUCGAUAAACUAUUGGAGGGCAAGUCUGGUGCCAGCAGCCGCGGUAAUUCCAGCUCCAAUGGUGUAUGCUAACAUUGUUCCAGUUAAAAAACUCGUAAUCGAAUUUUUAAGGGAAUCAAUUUCGUAUGGUCUUAAUGAACUACAAAAGAAAAUAAUUUAUCUUAUUUUGCGCUUAUACACCGUUAGAAUUCGUUUUCUGACAGUGAAUUAAGUGUGUAUUUACUUUGAGAAAAUUAGAGUGUUCUAAGCAGUCUUACAGCUUUAUCCUAAACCAUGGAAUGAUAAGUAAUGACAUCGGUUAAUUUCUGUUGGUUUGAGAAGUUGAUGUAAUGAUUUAUAGAGUUAGUCGGAGGUAUUAGUAUUUUGUCGUUAGAGGUGAAAUUCCGGGAUCGACAAAAGACUAACAACUGCGAAAGCCAUUUACCUAGGAUUUGCUUCCUUGAAUCAAGAACGUAAGUUGGGGGAUCGAAGACGAUCAGAUACCGUCGUAGUCUCAACUUUAAACUAUAUCAGCUAAGGGGUGGCAAAUGGUUAUAUGACUUUGUUAGAACCUUAAGGGAAAUCAAAGCGUUUGGGUUCCGGGGGGAGUAUGGUCGCAAGGCUGAAACUUAAA
Molecule: ribosomal RNA, 1140 nt
Filed under: uncultured Polycystinea
Lineage: Eukaryota; Polycystinea
Description: bacterial SSU rRNA
Rfam family: Eukaryotic small subunit ribosomal RNA
Source: RNAcentral